AGAAAGACACCAAAAUUCAUCUUCUGCCAAAGAAAAAAAAAAAGAAUGAUAAAUGAUCGCCUAAAACUUCAACAAAGUGCAAAUAAUGUCAUCACAAUCACAUAUGUGAAACCUUUGAAUGCCAGUAACUGAUAAACAUUAAUCCAUCUUUCUAAAAUGCAUGAAACCUUCCACAACAUCAACUAAUCACUCUUCAACAUGAUAUGCUGCCAAACAACCAAGAUAUUUUUACCUCUGUUUUAAUGAAAACGUUUGAAUGCAUACCAAAAUAGGUAUUGUCAAACUAGAUAUCCAAAGCUCUAGUUUUACUUGCCCCUAAAAUAAUUAAAUGAUUAAAAAGCAAUGAUGGAGAUUAUAGAUAACUAAAGACAAUGUUAACUAAAUAAGCUGAUGAUGAAAAAAAUCAGGAGGGAGCUAGAUUAGACAAUGGUACACAACAAAGGCAAGAGGCAAU
This 454-nucleotide unclassified non-coding RNA is filed under the name Hevea brasiliensis (rubber tree). Lineage: Eukaryota; Viridiplantae; Streptophyta; Magnoliopsida; Malpighiales; Euphorbiaceae. The record is from RNAcentral.